RNAcentral lists this ribosomal RNA (634 nucleotides) under uncultured bacterium. Its description in RNAcentral is "bacterial SSU rRNA". The stretch from base 1 to 542 matches the Rfam family "Bacterial small subunit ribosomal RNA", at positions 338 to 873 of the family's 1533-position model. The record is from RNAcentral.
CCUACGGGAGGCAGCAGUGGGGAAUUUUGGACAAUGGGCGCAAGCCUGAUCCAGCAAUGCCGCGUGAGUGAAGAAGGCCUUCGGGUUGUAAAGCUCUUUUGUCAGGGAAGAAACGGGUGGAGCUAAUAUCUCUGCCUAAUGACGGUACCUGAAGAAUAAGCACCGGCUAACUACGUGCCAGCAGCCGCGGUAAUACGUAGGGUGCAAGCGUUAAUCGGAAUUACUGGGCGUAAAGCGUGCGCAGGCGGUUUUGUAAGUCUGUCGUGAAAUCCCCGGGCUCAACCUGGGAAUUGCGAUGGAGACUGCAAGGCUAGAAUCUGGCAGAGGGGGGUAGAAUUCCACGUGUAGCAGUGAAAUGCGUAGAGAUGUGGAGGAACACCGAUGGCGAAGGCAGCCCCCUGGGUCAAGAUUGACGCUCAUGCACGAAAGCGUGGGGAGCAAACAGGAUUAGAUACCCUGGUAGUCCACGCCCUAAACGAUGUCUACUAGUUGUCGGGUCUUAAUUGACUUGGUAACGCAGCUAACGCGUGAAGUAGACCGCCUGGGGGNGGUACGGUCGCGAGAAGUAAACGUACAAGUAGAAGUUAGUACGACGUAGAGACGUAGACCGACGGACGACGACGAGGGGAGGAGG